This 310-nucleotide unclassified non-coding RNA is filed under the name Zea mays. Its description in RNAcentral is "misc RNA Zm00001eb037780". The record is from RNAcentral. Lineage: Eukaryota; Viridiplantae; Streptophyta; Magnoliopsida; Poales; Poaceae.
GCCUCCUUCUAGUCUUAUCCUGCCACCGCACUACCUUGUUCCUUAUCCUCUCUCUUCCCUGGAACAAAAAUCCUGUAUGUGCAUGGAAAUCUGUCGCUUCCUUCAACCUCUGUUCCUAUCCGCGCGUGGAGGUGGAAAAAAGAUCUUCUCCGGCCGCCGCUGGAUCCCUACAAAUAUCACCACCGAGCGGCUCCUUACCACGGCAUCGUUCUCCCUGCGCUCUCUCUCUCACACUGCGUCUUUGGCUCCUGCUCCAUCUCCUUUGCUGCGAAGCUCCGAGCUCUGCUCGGCCGGAUUUUUCAUGGCGCCC